RNAcentral lists this transfer RNA (73 nucleotides) under Ipomoea nil (Japanese morning glory). It matches the Rfam family "tRNA". From Rfam's summary of the family: Transfer RNA (tRNA) molecules are approximately 80 nucleotides in length. Their secondary structure includes four short double-helical elements and three loops (D, anti-codon, and T loops). Further hydrogen bonds mediate the characteristic L-shaped molecular structure. tRNAs have two regions of fundamental functional importance: the anti-codon, which is responsible for specific mRNA codon recognition, and the 3' end, to which the tRNAs corresponding amino acid is attached (by aminoacyl-tRNA synthetases). tRNAs cope with the degeneracy of the genetic code in two manners: having more than one tRNA (with a specific anti-codon) for a particular amino acid; and 'wobble' base-pairing, i.e. permitting non-standard base-pairing at the 3rd anti-codon position. Lineage: Eukaryota; Viridiplantae; Streptophyta; Magnoliopsida; Solanales; Convolvulaceae. The record is from Rfam by way of RNAcentral.
GCCCGUCUAGCUCAGUCGGUAGAGCGCAAGGCUCUUAACCUUGUGGUCUUGGGUUUAAGCCUCAGGGUGGGCG